GACGAACGCUGGCGGCGUGCUUAACACAUGCAAGUCGAACGGAAAGGCCCUGCUUUUGUGGGUUGCUCGAUUGGCGAACGGGUGAGUAACACGCGAGUAAACUGCCCUUGACUUUGGGGUAACUUCAGGAAACAGGGGCUAAUAUCGGAUAUGAGCUCCUGCUGCACGGUGGGGGUUGGUAAGUUUCGGCGUUUGGGGAUGGACUCGAGGCUUAUCAGCUUGAUUGUGGGGUAGGGGCUUUCCAGGGUUUUGAAGGGUAGGCCGCAUGAGAGGGUGAACGGCCACAUGGGGCCUGCGAUAGGGCGCAGAAUCGUACGGGAGGCAGCAGUGGGGAAUAUUACAGAAUGGGCGGAAGCCUGAUGCAGCAAUGCCGCGUGCGGGAAGACGGCCUUCUGGUUGUAAACAGCUUUCGACUGUGACGAAGAGUGAGUGACGGUAAUGAGUAAAAAAGCAACGGCUAACUACGUG
Molecule: ribosomal RNA, 468 nt
Filed under: uncultured bacterium
Lineage: Bacteria
Description: partial 16S ribosomal RNA
Rfam family: Bacterial small subunit ribosomal RNA
Source: RNAcentral